UGUAAAAGUUUAGGAUCUAUAACAUCCAGAUACAUCCGCCCAUACUGGAUGUGUAUUUCUUCGAGGAUCGUGUCCUCAUAUAGAGUACAAUAGUUCUCUUAUUUGGAGUUUAAUCCAUGUAAGCAUGAAGUUUUGCUCAUACGCUUUCAGCCUGCCACUGUUCAAAUCUGCAAGUGGCUGACGCCAUAUGUAGUUGCCAGC
Triticum dicoccoides is the source of this 201-nucleotide long non-coding RNA. RefSeq lists it as uncharacterized. The transcript is spliced from 3 exons. Lineage: Eukaryota; Viridiplantae; Streptophyta; Magnoliopsida; Poales; Poaceae. The record is from RefSeq and is a predicted model, not a curated record.